CCUGACUGCAGACCAGAUUACCCGCUGAAUUUAAGCAU
This 38-nucleotide ribosomal RNA is filed under the name Chromera velia. RNAcentral's name for it is "partial 28S ribosomal RNA". The record is from RNAcentral. Lineage: Eukaryota; Chromeraceae.